Molecule: ribosomal RNA, 253 nt
Filed under: uncultured bacterium
Lineage: Bacteria
Description: partial 16S ribosomal RNA
Rfam family: Bacterial small subunit ribosomal RNA
Source: RNAcentral
UACGUAGGGUGCGAGCGUUGUUCGGAAUGACUGGGCGUAAAGGGCGCGUAGGCGGGUUUACAAGUCGUCUGUGAAAUCCCCGGGCUUAACCUGGGAACUGCAGACGAUACUGUGAGUCUUGAGUGCUUGAGAGGGUGGUGGAAUUCCUAGUGUAGAAGUGAAAUUCGUAGAUAUUAGGAGGAACACCGGAGGCGAAGGCGGCCACCUGGCAAGACACUGACGCUGAGGCGCGAAAGUGUGGGGAUCAAACAGG